CAAGGAUUGCUCUUCUGAGAGGCUGCGGUUUAUUACAAAUGGGAAAGCUUUCAUUGCAGAUUGCCCCAGCACUGCAAAGAGGUACGUGACCCAUCUCAGGCGCACUGGGCUCUGCUCUAUAGGGUAGAAGUCACUCACAGAGUGCACAGACAAGAAUUUAACUGUGUGUGUUUGUGUGUGUAUUUAUAAGUUAGGAAGCAUACACAUAUAAAAAUAUAUGCAUGAGUAUUGUGUUUAUGAAUGUGUGUAAAGGCCGUAAAGGGACUCUGGAUGAGACUGCAUGAACAAUAUACCAUGAAAUCAGUGUGCAUGCUUUAACCGUGUAUUAUAGUUUCCAGUAAGCAAACCUACUGGACUAAGGUAUUUUCACGUUGCCUAGUGACCAUCCAUGAAGUGUGUGUAAUAAGCUCGUAUGACAAUCAAGGACUCUUUAUUUUGAAAUAUCACAAAUCAUUAUUUAGUCAAAAAGGGCGUUUCUACACUCUGAACUGCGGACAUACAAAACUGGCUACUAGCAAGAGAGUGUAGUAUGAUGCAUCAGCAGCUGUUUUCCUCUGGAGUUGAUAAACUCAAAACCAAAAACUACAAAGAUGGUGAGGUUUGACUAGCUUACCUAGAGUUUCCAGAAAUGUCACCUGAAAAAAAUACAGUUACUUUAUGUCACAUCAAUCAAUCAAUCAAUCAAACAGUAAUUACAUUUUAUUUAUAUAGUGUCAAUUCACAACAGUUAUCAUCCCAAGACGCAUUCCAAAGAAAAAGAGCAGGUCUUCAUUGUUUGAUGUCACAUGACAGCGAUAAAACAAAACAAAUCUGUUAAAAAUGCAAGUAAUGAAUUGGAUUUUAGACAGCUUUUUUGGUUAAAGAUUGAAUAAUAAUUAAAAAUCUUUAUUUAGGCGAAAAAGCCCAACAAUAGACACUAUCCUUAACCUUCAUUGUGUGUCAAUACAUGUUUCUUGGAAAGUAAGGGCUAAUCGGUUUAUAAUCAGUGAAAAUUUCUUUAUAUAGCCCCCCCACCGACCUCUGACCUUAUUAAAAAACAGGCCAGUAGUUAUUAGUCUGCUCCACACUAGGUUGCAUGCACCAUUACGGCCCCUCAGAUGAUAGCAGGUUGAGGGGGUGGGGUGUGUGUGUUGGGUAAGGGGUCUGGGGAGUAGGUAAUUUGAUUGGUGCAAAAUUAGGGACUCCUCUGCAGAGGCAUUAUGGGAGAGUUCCUAGUGGGUCAUUUUAGCUUCACUUCCUCCAUAUUUCUCAGCUUGAUUAAAAAUUGAUCGGCGAUGGCUAUGUGAAUAUAUUAUUGGGGCCAUUAUUCACCCCUGACAGAUAAUUGGAUGGUACACACAACUCUAUUUUCUUUGGGGGCAAUGCCAUCAGUUGUGUGGCUCUGGUGUGUGUGUGCGCGCAUGUGUGUUUUAGUGUGUGAGGGAGAGAAACAAGGAUGAAAGCAGAGUGAAGAAGAGAGUGUGUAAGUACCGAGUGGAUGGAUGGUUCAGCUGAGGUCUUUUUUUUCCUCCCUUUUUUAUUGUAAGUCAAUAAAUCACUCCCUCUCCUCUUCUAUCGAGCCAUCCCUCCAUCCCUUCCCAACUCUGCUGUCACUCUCUAUGGCUGUGUAUGAUGGAUAUGUUAUUGAAACAUCAUACAAAGCAUAUAAUCAUUUUUCUGGUAAUCAUUCAUAACCUAUUCUCAAGAGUUUGGAAUAGGGCCAUGAAAUACAAUGUCAGAUAAAACCGACAUGGAUUUGGAUUUGCUUUUUAGUUUGUGCUUAUGCUCCAUCUCAAAUUCACUUAUUACCAAAGAUUGAAUUUCCCCUAAAAAGCACUCAAGCUGUGGAAAAUGUCUGUGAAUAAGCCCGUCUGAUAGCAGUUAGCUAGUAUAGCUGCAGGCACACUUGGAUAUUGGAAUGAGCAAAAUGCAAUGUGUGCUUGGUGGCUAAUGCUAUUUGCUAUUUGCCUGAGGCUUAGCUUGCUGCCAUUUUCACGCCUUCUUAAUGCCUUAAACUGCAUGAAAAAUGAAAUGGCUUGCGCAACAUGGAACUAUGCAUAGUAGUCUGAUGGUCUGCAACUAACCAAGUGUGUGAUGCAGCGUGUUGCCUUUAAUAGUUCUUUAGACAUUUUUCAUUGCUGGUGUUUUUGUUGCAGGAUAAAUUUAGUAGUGUUAGUAAAAGUUUCUACAUUUGGCCGCUCAUCUCACAGAGUUAGAUUUUAAGAGGCAUCGUGCUGGAUUUUAUUAUCUACUCGAUCAUUUCAGAUGAAGUAUCUGGUGCUCAUCACAUGGCUCUUUUUAUUUAAAAAAAAAAAAAAAUGGUUGUAAAAUAGUAUCUUGUGUGAUGUGUUUGAUCUGGAUAAUGGACAUGAAGUUGUACAUCAGCUUGUGUCUGGUUUGACUAACCAUUUAGUCAAUCAGCGCAGUCAUGUGGUUGUAAACUAGCAAAGAGGACUGAAAGCUGAUAGUGCUAACUUUGCUAAAGAUUAUCCAAAGACUCAGUGAACCGAUGUGAAGCAAAGUUAAACAAGUUGUGUACAAUUUUGACCUUUUAAAGGGUGUUUUUUUUCUUACCUUGACUCUAAUAAAUUAAUCAGAAUUUAAUUAAUUUAUUUUUAAAAGUAGGAAAGUGAUUUGGGACUUAAAAGAAAUUGUCAUGACAAUGAAUAAUUUAUAAUGAUAAUAAAAUAAUAUAUAUAUUAAUGAUAACAAAAUAAAGUUUUUGGGAACUUCUUAAUCUCAUGAAAAUCUUUAUCAUUAUAUUAGAGCAGGUCUGAGUCAAGGGCCUUAGUUUCAGUGCAUAUCAACAGGGACCGUUUUGACAUCAUGGUUUCAUGACCCCCUCCACAUUAGAGCAAUAAAUGGUAAAAUAAAAAUAUAUCCCUGAAGGGAAGUUGUUGGGAUCGAUCGAUCCACACCUCUGACACAAGAGUCAUGACAGUCAGCUGUACCCAUUUUAUUCAAAGUAAAUCUUUUUCUACAGAGGCAAUUAUCCCAACCCCCUCCUCAUGUACAAAUCAAAUUAGUGGCCAUGAUCUCACUGAUGGAAAGGCCUCUCAGGAAAUGACAUGUGUCCAUAACAUUAUUUGCAGUCUUGCUAGCUCCCACAUUAUCCAUCCAGUGUUGUUCAGUUAACUUCACUUUCUUUCUCUUUCUCUUUCUUGUUUUCUUUUUUAUUCGUUACCUUACUUGUUUCUGUGCCCCCUUUUGUCGUUUUUUUCUCCUGCAUGGUUAAUUCAUUUCUCCUCUUCCUCUUCUCCCAUAACUUUAAUGGUUCCUCUACAACAUCCCUCCCUAAUUCUCCUCCUCUCCUCAUCUUUCCCACUCCCUCUUUCUCUUCUUGUGGGUGGAAAAAACACAGCUUUCCCCCUCACAAAGACCGUUCUCCUGAGUGGAAAUUACCGGCGGAGAUUAAUAACGACAUUAGGCAGUAAUGAUGCUGCACUGAAUGAAAUAUUUAUUAAAGAUCCCUCUGCUAGCAAUUAGCGUGGCAUGUAAUCGUUCAGCACAAGAAAUCAAGAUGAUUGUGCCGCAGUCCCCCAGCCCCUUAUUGCUCUCUUCUCAGAGCCCCCUCCCGUUAACACACAGUUAAAAAACAACCCCCUGUGCAGCCUUGACUUCCACAACAAAACCCCUGCACUCACAUGUCUUCUCUCCAUGACAACAGCAGCUUUGGGAGAACUGUGGAGUUCAUACGUGUGUGUUUCGGGGGGUGGAAACGGUGGAGGUGGUGGUUCUUGCGCAUCCAAUCUUAAUUACAGGCCCCCGUAAGUUGGGGGAGAGGACUCCAAUGGGCAAUUACACUGUCAGGGAUGCAGACCGUGGGUAUCGCUGCUGAUUGGCUCAGGAGAGUGUUGAAGUCAGACCGCAGGCGCGUCAAAGAAAGCCGACGUUUUUCGUCUUCGUUCCAAGUUCCUGCCAAGCUGUCCAGGGCAGCAGCGAGAGAAGUGAGAGAAAAGCUCAUUAUUGAAUGCCUGUCCUGUGUCUUGGAGUCCACUCACUUCCAAUGCCUAAAGGGACAGGUUAGCACAAGUUCCAAAGAAGUUUUCCGUCCAAGAGAUUUCAUUUGUUAAACUUUCUGAAAAACUUUUUAAAGUUGUACGUUGUACAACCUCCUGGUUCAGCAAUGAAACACGAGGGAUUCUGAUGAUUUUUCUCUGAAUUAAUUUCAAUAUUUGGAUGCUAAAUAGUCAUAAAAAAAGUUAAAAUGGAAAGUGAUUUUUAAGAUGAAGUGCCCUCGAGGUAAAUGCACUGAAGAAUCUCAAGGCAGAGCCUAUGGAAGAGUAUUUAGUUUGAGUUUGUUGUGCGAUAUUAACCAAUCACUAAUGACUUUAAAAAACAGAAAUCUAUAUGUUUGAGGUACACUGAGAAUUUAUCUUAAAAAAAAUACUUCAUUUCCACACUUGGACUGAGUUGAAAAUGAUUGAUCCGACCUUUUUGAAAUUAUUUGUCGUCUUGAAAAAACACCUUACAAAGAUGACCUUUUUACUUUUACAAAUCUGCAUUAUGAACGAACUGAAAACUUAUUGAUUUUAAAUACAUCACAAGAAAGCUUCUUUUAAAGGCUCACACCUCUGAAGUAAGUCAGAGUGAAGCCUCUGAAUGACAGGGUUUCUGCUGGGUUUUGAAAAGUCUCGAAACGUCUCAGAUCAAAUCAUUUGAAUUUGAGCCUUAAAAUGUAUAAACUUCUCUUAAAACCUCGAAAAAUGUCUUAAAUACAAAUUUUAAAGGUCUUAAAAAUGUAUUGAUGUUACUUACAUAUAAAGAUUGAUUUGAAGUUGUUUUGAAAGCCACCUUUUACUGUGUAACUGAGACUCACCAGAUGCCCUGAGACAACUCAUGGGGAUGUGAAGAAGUUUUUUUCCAGACAUACCCAACAUGGCUUUUUUUCUGCACAUAGAUUUGCUUUUCAAGUUUUUGAUUGGACUGAAGACAGCACAGCACAUAGAAAAGUGUCGGCUGUGAUUGCCCUUGAAUGCCGUUGUUUGUGUUCACACAAGCAUGACCUCAUUUUCAAGUCGUCACCUGAGAAGGACAAUGGAAAGAAGGAGGCGUGAAGGAGAUGAGGAGGAGAGGCAGGUCAGGGUGGGUGUUUGUUGUUACAGCAAAAGGUCAGAGGUCAGAUAAUCAAAAGUGUCCGUUUAUUGGCUACAUCAUCAAACCUCAAGGAGCUCAUCAAUGCAGCCAGUCAGGCGUGUGGCUCUGCUAAUCAGCUCUCAGGCGAGUGUUUAUCCGUGCCGAUACCGUCCUCAGAGCAACUAGAAAGAGACAGAAUGAGUGAAAGAAAGGGGGAAGGAAGAGAAAGGGGUAGGGAGCAUGAAUCGGAGAGCGUGGGCUAAUGUAAUACUAGUUCACUACACAAAGGGCAGUGGGGAGAGACGGAUCAAUUUGCAAUAUUGUGGGCUGCGGGCCCGGCAACAAAGGCAGGACAUGAAAGCAAGCACAUUAAGUGAUGCUCUUGUAUGAACUCUGGCAAUCAAUAAACAUCAGGGUGAAAGGGGAGCGGGGCACAGAGUGUAUGAGGGGAACGAGGGAAGUAGACAGAAACAAGAGGAUGGGUGAAAGUGAGGGAUAAGAGAACAAUAGAUGGAGUGAAAGAGUGAUGGUAGAAGAUAAGACUGAAAUCUAACCACAGAGUUCUUUGUUUGACAAACUUUGCUGCUGCUCUCCACUCAGAUAGUUAAUUAGAUAGUUAUCUUUAGCCCUUUGAUAGAUUAGAUAAGCCCUUAAUUAAUCUUUGAAUCUAAUUAACUUUCUUGCUAUUAAUAGGUUUGGCCACAUUUCUGUACCUUUGACUGUCAAAGCAGUGAAAUGAGUUCACAGUUCAGGCAGGGGGAGAAUCCCUGUCAGAAUGAAAAAGUUUUCUCCAGAAUCGCACUCAGCCACUCAGUAAAUGUUUUGAAAAACACAGAAAAUCAAUUAAUGCAAAAAUGUGUCUGACAGAGUCCUUUCUCAUCGAUGAUUUGCUGUCAUGUUUUCUCUUUUCUCUUCAUCUCUUGAUGACUUUCCAGCUGUUUGAAAUGACUUAAUUUAGUCAAACUGAUUUUUCUGAUUCCAUCAUUUAAGUUGAAAACUUUUUCCUCAACCCAACAUUUUGAGGAUCUUGUGUUAUUUAACUUUCUGCAGUCAUUUUCUGAGCAUGUUCAACCACAAGGCUUUAACUGGAUGCAUGUUACUGUGUGAAAAGAUUAAGUGUGUGUAUUUCCUUUGUUCAGUAUUGACUGUAGCUUGUACCUUUAAGAAAUAUUUAUCGUUUCCAUGAGAAGACAGUAUUUCCUGCAACCUCUCUGCAGAAGUAAUUUCCCUUUGGGACAAUAAAAUCUACCUUGACCUUCAUCUUAAGAAUGGGGAUGAUACUUAGGGAGCUUAUGGAGUAGAGGAGGAGGGGGAGGUAUGAGUGAUAGAAAAACAGAGAAGAUUUUAUACCUUUAUAAAAAUAUGCCCUCUACUUUUUUAAUUUAGAUAAAUCCCGUUGAGAUCAAAGGUCACUGGAACAAGGGAACAUUAAAAGUUCUAUAAAGAGGGGUCCUGCUUUCAUAUCUUAGUUCAUCUGACAAUUUCUCAGGGUUUCUCAAUGAAGAGAGAAAGUCUAGUAGGUCUUUGUUUAACAAUAGAAGUGUAAGCAGCUAAAACGCAGUGUUUCAGACGGAGCUUGAAAUAAUGAUAUUUUAAUACACCAAUAUUGGAGGUAUCAGAGUGGUGGUAUGGAGUCUCAAAAAAACACAUAACACCCCUCUUUAAAGUCCUGUGAAAGAGAGUUUUUCACGUCAUUUACCUGCAAAUAAUAUUAUGUCACACACUAUGAACAUGUUAUGUUAAAUAUACCUUAAUGUGGGGACAAAAACAACUUGCUUAAGUUGUAUUUUCAGGCUUUAAAACAGUAGAUUGAAGAGGGAUGGGAGAGUGAAUGGGCAGUGACAUAAGGCAAAGAGCCACGGCUUAGAAUCUGAUCCAGGCUGCCUGCAAAAAAAAAAAAAAAAACAACAUGGAAAAAUCUUGUGAAAGGUAUGUGUACAUCCAGUGUAUAAUCUUUAGAUAGAGAUUAUUUUACUGUAUGUCAAAGACCAUAGACUGUACAUAGAAUGGACGUCGUCUGCCUCCUCGCUGGGUGAAGCCACUCCGAGAACAGCACCCUCUGUUGAUGGGCUGCAGUAUAGGUCAUAAAUCCCGCCUCCGCCAGCAAAGCUUAUGGGGCUGUGGACAAACUUUAGAAAUUUAUUACACAGAACAUACAUUUUUCUCCCCCCUGGUUGUGAUGUUGACAUGUAGUUACUGUAAGACUGGUUUGUGCUCAAGUUCUUUUUUUUCUGUACAGCUCCGUUUUUAAAAGUUAUUAGGGGGUUCAUGUUUGCUAUGAUUGACACCUGAUACAGCCCAUGGGCGUUCCGGGAUUGCGUAGCUCUCCCGGGGGAUACGCUGUUUGAGCCGAGUGUUGUCACAGCAACUCUCUGCGACUGUGCGGCCGAAUGAGCGCAUUGCUACUGCGCAGCGCUGGUUUGAGGAAAUGAAGAAAAAUCCCGGAAAUAUCGAGAGCUAUUCGGCUUCAAAUCCGUAUACAGGUGGUAGGCGGAACCAAGUUGUCCAUGGUAUAUACAGUCUAUGUCGAAGACCCAACAGAUCCAACAGAUCUCUUUGAUGCCCCCUCCAGAGUUUUCCAGCAUUCUCUGUCAACGGCCUGGUUGUUCCAUUACACAUGCACGCACAUGCACGCACGCGCUUGCACCACACACACACACACACACACACACACACACACACACACACACACACACACACACACACACACACACACACACACACAGUAUCCCCCCGCUGGGACCAGGGAGCUUCAUUUGCAUUAUGAUGGCAGGCAGAUUAAGUACAUUCCAGUGCACACUAAAAGGACUCAUAAUAAAACACAUACACAAUCCACACAAGUGCAUGCUGUCUACACACACAGACACACAGACACACACACACUCUUGUCUUUGGGCCAGUAAGGCAGGCUUCGAACAAAACCGGUGCCCAGUGCAGGGUACCAAUCCCAUUACUUGCCCCGUCCUCUGUUACCCCCUACCUCUGCAGUGAACAAAGGAUGUAGACAUGGAUAGGAUCUAAACCUCAGUGAAUAAGAGCAGGAGGAGGAGGAGGAGAAAAGCCAAGCGAUGAGAGAAAAAGAUGAGAAGAAGGGCAGAAAUCAGGGUGGGGUGGGCGUUGGAGAAAUAACUGACAGGCAGCUAGGGGGACUAAGCUCAUUUAGAUAAACGACAACCCCGACUGAGAUAAAACCAAUGAUGAUUUGUACUGCAUCUUCAGGGCAUAAAAGUCGUCCUAUUUGAUUCCACUGGGCCCCGGCGCCCUGUGAUUUCACAGGCCCUUAUGCAGAGCGAUUGUGUGGCUCCCAGCGUGAUGGUGCAGGCCACUGGAGAGGGGUGGAAAGGUGACUCCUGCAAGGAGAGGGGGAGGAAAGUCCCAUCCUUAGUUGGAAAUGUCAAAUACAAUGCACAGGGUGAUGGACAGAAACUGUGAGGGCUGAUGCCAGGGUCUUCCUGUCUCUGUUGUUGGGUGUUUGAUUUCUUCCUCUUUCUGCCCAGCCAGUGCAAACAGACUCACAGCUGCUGAGUAAUCUGCAGUCAAAGAAGCUUUUGAAGUUUAAUCAAUGGUUUGAUAAUCAGCUGUGCAAGUAAUCAGUAUGUAAAAGCACUUUUUCUUUAGGAAACCAGGACUGCAGUCACUGUGAGCCACCUAUAUAUAUAUAUAUAUAUAUAUAUAUAUGCUCCUUCCUCUUUUUUUUCAUUUCAAGUAUUUUGAUGCGAAGCAUAAGCAAUAGAUAUGUAAAUGUCCAAUGAUAUAAUGUUCAGUAUAUCAGAAUCAGAAUCAUCACAUCCCCACUUGUUAUUGGAUGUAAAUGUUCAUUAAAUAAAAAAGAGGUCAAACUAUUUAAAGAUCUCAUAAAUUAUUUCUCUUCAUACCAUUUGCCAAAAUAACUUUGUUUAAUGACUUACAAAACAUGACAGUCAAAACAACAUACCAGACAAUCAGUUCAUGGGACUAAAUUGGCCCAAUUUAGUUUCUAAAAGUACACUUGAAGCAUACUUGAAAGUUAACUAUAAUAUUAGUCUACUAGUAAUAAACUUAUAGUCCCCUCUUUAGUUUCUAAAAGUACACCCUAAACAUAUUUAUAUAUAUAUAUAUAUAUAUAUAUAUAUAUAUAUAUAUAUAUAGAGAGAUAUAUAUAUAUAUAUAGUGAUAUAUAUAUAUAUAUAUAUAUAUAUAUAUAUAUAUAUAUAUAUAUAUAAUACAUACAGCACAUAUAAAGGUAUGUUUCAGGGUGACCACAGUGGGGGCCACAGUCCCCAACAUGGGGCGCAUUUUAAUCCACUCAGCUAUCUGCAUGCUGACUCUGAAAUAUUAGUAAAAUUGCCUGUAGUAUGCUAUUAUUUCAAUAAUAGUAUAUAUUUGUAUACUUGGGGAAAAAAAGGGGAAAGAAAAUGAUGCCCCAGCAAGUGACGAGGUACAAGGACGAUUUCACCACAAAAGCCGACUGGUUUGAUAGAUUUGUCCUCUGCAACCACUUUACUGUGAGAAGACUCACAACUGUUACCCAUUGCAAUAUUUCCAAUAAGGUUAUUAUUUGUUGUUUUUGACUGUGGAAGAUUUCAUAAGAGAACAAUUAAAGGCACAUGUCUUAUUGAUGCUGGUCCCAGAAAAAGGCAGGUGGAGUUUGCAGAUGAUACCAAUAAAAGCCAAGGCUACAAAUUUGAGUUUUACGGUAGUGGCAACAGUUAGACAGCAGCUAAAGUUAACCUUCAGCAACAUGCAGGUUAAUAUUUCUGCUGGCCGAAGAUGGCCAAUCUAUUACACAGACUGCAUAUUAAUAUGGAUACCAAGAGUGUUCACAAACUGUGAAGCCAAAAGAUUUAGAGCUCGGCCACUGUGACUGCAAUACAGAUCAUAAACCCUGCCUCCUCUAUUAUAGCAGAUGGACAUGCAGUAGGUCAUACAGUACCUUGAAAUUGAAAUAAGAAAAGUUUUUACCAAAUCUGGUUUCUGUCAUCACAGUUGGUUCUUAUUAUGUCGAAUUGAGUCCAGGUGUUCAUUUGAACAAGUUCAGCUUUGAUCAGUUGUUUGGUUAAAAAAGGGUUAAUUUGUGUAUUUACUUUUAAUUAGUAUUAUACCAUUUUUUUAUUGUAUGAAUUUUAUUUAUAUAGUUAUUAAUACUUUUCUUUUUUUUGGCUACAUAAAUGCAUAUAUACUUUUUUGUCCUCUUUUCCCUCUUGCUUUCUUCCUAUAUUUAUUUUUCUCACUAUCAGAGGCCAAAUUAACUGGUGGUAUUAUUCUUACCAUAAAUAUUUUGUCUGUUGUUACUCUUUCUUGCAGACAGAGAUAAGAACCAGAAAAUUGAAAGAAAAAUUUAUAUGAAUAUGGUUUGAUACUGAGGAGACCAACAAGCCUGCUACACGACUGUACACUUUGGGUGUAAUAUAUUUAUGUAUGCACUUAUUUACUUAUUUUUCUUUUCCUUCUCUUUUUUCUGCAUUGUCCUGAAUUUAUGUGUAUGUGUUUGUAUGAUUUAUGUUUGAUCAGAAAAUGAAUUAUUAUACUCUGUGGCACAUGAAAAUAAAAUUAAACAUUAUGGUUAAAAAAAAAAAAAGGAUUGACAAGUCCACUGUGUGUCACUACUGUGACAAGAGAAGAACAAGAAAACGUAC
This 10670-nucleotide long non-coding RNA is filed under the name Xyrichtys novacula (pearly razorfish). The record is from RNAcentral. Lineage: Eukaryota; Metazoa; Chordata; Actinopteri; Labriformes; Labridae.